This 72-nucleotide transfer RNA is filed under the name Planctomycetes bacterium SM23_25. RNAcentral describes it as "tRNA-Thr". It matches the Rfam family "tRNA". From Rfam's summary of the family: Transfer RNA (tRNA) molecules are approximately 80 nucleotides in length. Their secondary structure includes four short double-helical elements and three loops (D, anti-codon, and T loops). Further hydrogen bonds mediate the characteristic L-shaped molecular structure. tRNAs have two regions of fundamental functional importance: the anti-codon, which is responsible for specific mRNA codon recognition, and the 3' end, to which the tRNAs corresponding amino acid is attached (by aminoacyl-tRNA synthetases). tRNAs cope with the degeneracy of the genetic code in two manners: having more than one tRNA (with a specific anti-codon) for a particular amino acid; and 'wobble' base-pairing, i.e. permitting non-standard base-pairing at the 3rd anti-codon position. Lineage: Bacteria; Pseudomonadati; Planctomycetota. RNAcentral also lists the same sequence under 3 other names. The record is from RNAcentral.
GCCGACCUAGCUCAACGGUAGAGCACAGCUUUCGUAAAGCUGGGGUUCGGGGUUCGAAUCCCCGGGUCGGCU